This 270-nucleotide long non-coding RNA is filed under the name Elaeis guineensis (African oil palm). RNAcentral describes it as "long non-coding RNA (EGUI_LNC049622)". The record is from RNAcentral. Lineage: Eukaryota; Viridiplantae; Streptophyta; Magnoliopsida; Arecales; Arecaceae.
AUCUGGAAACAAUCGAGUACAUAAAUCAAGGGAGACAACUUUGGCUAUAAAAACUUUUUUGUACUUCCUUCAUUCGAAACUCGAACUCGAAAGUAGGGGGACUGGUAUUGGAUAUAAAAUAAUCCCAGCCGAAGUUCGUAAGAGGCCAACCCUCCCAGGACUCUUCUGGCUUCCGACCUUGUGCGGUGUCUUUCUGAACUCCCCCUGCCGUUCGAGCUUCAACAGUACCGUCCAGACUCCUCAAGUAGUCGAGCUUCCACAGUGUCCUCC